Molecule: ribosomal RNA, 112 nt
Filed under: human gut metagenome
Source: RNAcentral
CGGUGACUAUGGCGAAAGGGAUCCACCUGUUCCCAUGCCGAACACAGAAGUUAAGCCUUUCAGCGCCGAUGGUACUUGGUUGGAGACGACCUGGGAGAGUAGGACGUUGCCG